CGGACAGAUGCUUGGUGGUUUAAGCGUCUAGCUGUUAAUUAGAAAUUCGUAGGAUCGAAGCCUUCCUGUCCAG
Molecule: transfer RNA, 73 nt
Filed under: Rachovia brevis
Lineage: Eukaryota; Metazoa; Chordata; Actinopteri; Cyprinodontiformes; Rivulidae
Description: tRNA-Asn
Rfam family: tRNA
About the family: Transfer RNA (tRNA) molecules are approximately 80 nucleotides in length. Their secondary structure includes four short double-helical elements and three loops (D, anti-codon, and T loops).
Source: RNAcentral